GAGUUUGAUCGUGGCUCAGAUUGAACGCUGGCGGCAGGCCUAACACAUGCAAGUCGAGCGGAUGAGAGGAGCUUGCUCCUUGAUUCAGCGGCGGACGGGUGAGUAAUGCCUAGGAAUCUGCCUGAUAGUGGGGGACAACGUUUCGAAAGGAACGCUAAUACCGCAUACGUCCUACGGGAGAAAGCAGGGGACCUUCGGGCCUUGCGCUAUCAGAUGAGCCUAGGUCGGAUUAGCUAGUAGGUGAGGUAAUGGCUCACCUAGGCGACGAUCCGUAACUGGUCUGAGAGGAUGAUCAGUCACACUGGAACUGAGACACGGUCCAGACUCCUACGGGAGGCAGCAGUGGGGAAUAUUGGACAAUGGGCGAAAGCCUGAUCCAGCCAUGCCGCGUGUGUGAAGAAGGUCUUCGGAUUGUAAAGCACUUUAAGUUGGGAGGAAGGGCUGCAAGUUAAUACCUUGUAGUUUUGACG
This 470-nucleotide ribosomal RNA is filed under the name uncultured Gammaproteobacteria bacterium. RNAcentral describes it as "bacterial SSU rRNA". It matches the Rfam family "Bacterial small subunit ribosomal RNA", at positions 9 to 474 of the family's 1533-position model. Lineage: Bacteria; Pseudomonadati; Pseudomonadota; Gammaproteobacteria. The record is from RNAcentral.